RNAcentral lists this ribosomal RNA (255 nucleotides) under uncultured bacterium. Its description in RNAcentral is "partial 16S ribosomal RNA". It matches the Rfam family "Bacterial small subunit ribosomal RNA", at positions 524 to 776 of the family's 1533-position model. The record is from RNAcentral.
UACGUAGGCAGCAAGCGUUGUUCGGAAUUACUGGGCGUAAAGAGUGUGUAGGCGGUGCUCUAAGUUUGGUGUGAAAUCUCCCCGGCUCAACUGGGAGGGUGCGCCGAAAACUGGAAUGCUUGAACAUGGGAGAGGAAAGCGGAAUUCCUGGUGUAGCGGUGGAAAUGCGUAGAUAUCAGGAGGAACACCUGCGGUGUAGACGGCUUUCUGGACCAUUGUUGACGCUGAGACACGAAAGCGUGGGUAGCAAACAGG